GUUCUUGUAGUCUAAAUAAGGACUCUAGAUUGUGAUUCUAGGGGUGUGUAUCUCCACCAAGGACU
RNAcentral lists this transfer RNA (65 nucleotides) under Eubranchipus grubii. RNAcentral's name for it is "tRNA-His". Lineage: Eukaryota; Metazoa; Arthropoda; Branchiopoda; Anostraca; Chirocephalidae. The record is from RNAcentral.